AACGCACAUUGCGCCUAUUGGUAUUCCAAUAGGCAUGCCUGUUCGAGCGUCAUUUAAACCUUCAAGCUCUGCUUGGUGUUGGGCACUGUUCGUCUUGCGAACUUGCCUUGAAUAAAUUGGCAGCCUGCAAUUGGGUGUUGGAGCGCAGUACAUUUUGCGUUCUUGGCCAUAAUAGCCGGCGACCAGAAAGCUUAUCUUAACGUUUGACCUCGGAUCAGGUAGGGAUACCCGCUGAACUUAA
Molecule: unclassified non-coding RNA, 241 nt
Filed under: Peniophora sp.
Lineage: Eukaryota; Fungi; Basidiomycota; Agaricomycetes; Russulales; Peniophoraceae
Description: partial contains 5.8S ribosomal RNA, internal transcribed spacer 2, and large subunit ribosomal RNA
Rfam family: 5.8S ribosomal RNA (bases 1-52)
Source: RNAcentral